AGAGUUUGAUCAUGGCUCAGGACGAACGCUGGCGGCGUGCCUAAUACAUGCAAGUCGAACGAGAGUUUUUUACACCGAGUGCUUGCACUCACCGUAAGAAAUUCGAGUGGCGGACGAGUGAGUAACACGUGGGUAACCUGCCCAAAAGAAGGGGAUAACAUUUGGAAACAAAUGCUAAUACCGUAUAACCAUGAUGACCGCAUGGCCAUUAUGUAAAAGGUGGUUUUGCUAUCGCUUUUGGAUGGACCCGCGGCGUAUUAACUAGUUGGUAGGGUAACGGCCUACCAAGGUGAUGAUACGUAGCCGAGUUGAGAGACUGAUCGGCCACAAUGGGACUGAGACACGGCCCAUACUCCUACGGGAGGCAGCAGUAGGGAAUCUUCCACAAUGGGCGCAAGCCUGAUGGAGCAACGCCGCGUGAAUGAAGAAGGUCUUCGGAUCGUAAAAUUCUGUUGUUAGAGAAGAAUAUGAGUAAUAGUAACUGAUUAUUCACUGACGGUAUCUAACCAGCAAGUCACGGCUAACUGCGUGCCAGCAGCCGCGGUAAUACGUAGGUGGCAAGCGUUGUCCGGAUUUAUUGGGCGUAAAGGGAACGCAGGCGGUUUUUUAAGUCUGAUGUGAAAGCCUUCGGCUUAACCGGAGAUGUGCAUUGGAAACUGGAAGACUUGAGUGCAGAAGAGGAGAGUGGAACUCCAUGUGUAGCGGUGAAAUGCGUAGAUAUAUGGAAGAACACCAGUGGCGAAAGCGGCUCUCUGGUCUGUAACUGACGCUGAGGUUCGAAAGCAUGGGUAGCGGACAGGAUUAGAUACCCUGGUA
This 816-nucleotide ribosomal RNA is filed under the name uncultured bacterium. Its description in RNAcentral is "bacterial SSU rRNA". It matches the Rfam family "Bacterial small subunit ribosomal RNA", at positions 8 to 792 of the family's 1533-position model. The record is from RNAcentral.